Molecule: long non-coding RNA, 372 nt
Filed under: Mytilus galloprovincialis (Mediterranean mussel)
Lineage: Eukaryota; Metazoa; Mollusca; Bivalvia; Mytilida; Mytilidae
Source: RNAcentral
AUAUGUUCCUGAUUUAAUUUAGUUUCUUUUGUUACCUAUUCUGACAUCAACUUCGGACCUCUUUGAACUGAUUUUCAAUAUUGGCUAGAGGCAUCGGGGAGGGUUGAGAUAAAAAAUAAAAAAAUAAAUAAAAAAAAAACAUGUUUAACCCUGUCGCACUUUUGUGUCCGUCCUAAGUCAAGACCCUCUGGCCUGUAGGGGACAGCCGAAGCCCAACUCCGAGUGUAUGAAUUUCUUGAGCUGCGCUAAAGACCAAAUGGUGGCCUUUCGCUGUUGUCUGCUCUUUGGUGGGUUUGAUGUUUUCUUUGGAACAUUCCUCAUUUCAAUUCUCAAUUUUAUUGUGUUCAAAUUUCAUAAUAGUACACAAAGGCU